AAAACUGAUUUCAACAUUGAUCAUAAUAAUAAUAAUAAUAAAUGUUAGAAUGCCAGCAUAUUAGAAUGAUUUCUGAAGGAUCACGGGACAGAUUGAAAACAGUUAUUUUAAAUGGUAAUAAUAAUUUACAGCAUUACUGUUUUACUGCAUUUGCGAUCAAAUAAAUUCAGCCUAAAUUCAGCACAAGAGACUUCUUUCAAAAACAUUAAAAAAUCUUACCAACCCCAACCUUGUGAACAGUAGUGUAUAUUAAAAUCCUUUUACCAUAUGUAAAAAUAAAAAUGCACAUUAAUUAUAAUAAUAAUAAUUAACAUUAAUUAUUCAUUCACACAUUUUACACGACUCCCUUACUAAGCACAGAGAUAUGUUUUUAAAUCUAAUGCUUUGUUACAAAAUGCAGAUUGUCAGUGACAAUUCCAAGUACACAAACUAUCAUUCACACAGUUUUUUUUUAUUUUUUUAUUGUUAUUUAUUUUAUUUUUAUUGUCUCAUAUAAUUGGGAUAUAAAUGUGACUGAAUGUAAAAGACUGUGAUCAGUUCACAGCUCACCUACUGCACACCUACUGAUGUACAAGGCACCAUUAUGGGGGUGGGGGGGCUGGAGGUUAGGAUGAAUCCAAGGGGCCCACGAGGGAGAGGGGGCCCAGAAACCAUAGCAGCACCCCUGCUGAUGUAUCUAUCUCACUCAUAUUACCAGACAAUCACGAGUCGAACAAUAACUGCAGCACAGACUCCCGGAGCCUUUUGUCUACUGCUCAAUGUGAUCUCAUUUGAAGAGGGAAACUUUAGAGCAGAAUGUUUCAACAUUUUAAUCAUCAUGACAAAGUUGUUGUUUUUAUUUAUUAUUGAUUUGUGCUCAGGUGUUGCCAUUGGAGUGUUUGUGCCACAAUGCAAUAGCAUCAUUCCAUUUACGUAUCAGUGCAUUAUAACUUGAAUAUUUUUUCAGAUUCAGUGUUCCAUAAUCCUAUAUAAACUGUACUGACUAGACUGUAUAUGUGUAGACUGCCCAUGGUAACUGAUAUUUCAAUGUGCCGAAUUAAUGCUGUAUUAUUUUUACAAAAUCUGGUAUUGAGUACUUAUAUUAUUCAGAUGUCAGGUCACAACUGCCAGAUAGGCAGGUUGUUUGUUAUAAGUCAGUUGCUUUAUUCAUUCCUUUUCAUCAGGCAUAUUGUGCUAGUUUUGUAAAUCUAAGCAUGUGUUAGGCUGUAAUGUACCACCAGCUGACACGUAGGAGAACAGCGCUGUCUGUUCAUAGACUUCAGUGGCUGUAGUUGCUUGUCCACACAAUGGGUUAAAUUGUUACAUGUGCUUAGUUGAGGUUGUAAUGAUUGUACAAAUCAGUCUAUUCCAAAGACAAACUGACAGCUGGACCCUGUUUUAGUUGGCUCAGGCUUGAAGUCUGUACUUAUGGUGUAGUUUAGUAAGCAAUACUCAGUGCUACGCUUUGCAUGAAAAACCACUACAUACCUACAAAAUGCUGCACAAACACUGACACACAAGCACACGCAUGCACACGCAAAUGCACACACAUUUCUAAUGUCUGGCACAUAGACGAGAGGUUCUGAAUGUACAUUUAUUAGUAAUACUGAUCUAUAUUUCUGUAGAACAUGUGAAAUAUGGCUUGACCGAAAGGUUGUAUAAAAAUAAAAUCUCAUAAGAAAAUGCUGC
This is a long non-coding RNA of Cyprinus carpio carpio, 1668 nucleotides long. The record is from Ensembl. NCBI's taxonomy places the organism in Eukaryota, Metazoa, Chordata, Actinopteri, Cypriniformes, Cyprinidae.